This 295-nucleotide long non-coding RNA is filed under the name Elaeis guineensis (African oil palm). RNAcentral describes it as "long non-coding RNA (EGUI_LNC040654)". The record is from RNAcentral. Lineage: Eukaryota; Viridiplantae; Streptophyta; Magnoliopsida; Arecales; Arecaceae.
CUCGGCCUCUAGGAAAUUCCUUUCCAUGGUUAUGACCGUGAGCAUUAUCAACCCCUGAAGCCUAUGAAUCAGCUACUGUUAAAUGGUCUGACCAACAUCCCCUUGACAGAGUUCCUGAUUCUCUGAAUUUGUGCAGAUUCGCCUUCCUUGGCAUGUUCCGUCCACAGCAAGAAGAGCCUACCAAUUUGUUGCUUCAGAGCACUGCGAAGAAAAGCAUGAAACUCAAAGAUCGGCCUGUUGCGCUCUUUCCAUAAGCACCAGAAUCCUGCCGCCAGAAGAAUAUCUAACCCCUGCC